Molecule: ribosomal RNA, 254 nt
Filed under: uncultured bacterium
Lineage: Bacteria
Description: partial 16S ribosomal RNA
Rfam family: Bacterial small subunit ribosomal RNA
Source: RNAcentral
UACGUAGGUGGCAAGCGUUGUUCGGAAUUAUUGGGCGUAAAGGGCGCGUAGGCGGUUUGUCACGUCGGCCGUGAAAACCUGCAGCUUAACUGUGGGCGUGCGGUCGAUACGGGCAUCACUGGAGUUCGGCAGGGGAGACUGGAAUUCCUGGUGUAGCGGUGAAAUGCGCAGAUAUCAGGAGGAACACCGGUGGCGAAGGCGGGUCUCUGGGCCGAUACUGACGCUGAGGAGCGAAAGCGUGGGGAGCAAACAGG